AGGGUUUGAUCAUGGCUCAGAUUGAACGCUGGCGGUAUGCUUAACACAUGCAAGUCGAACGGCAGCGCGUUGGUUUCUUCGGAAACCGAUGGCGGCGAGUGGCGGACGGGUGAGUAACGCGUAGGAAUCUACUUCAAAGUGGGGAAUAACUCGGGGAAACUCGAGCUAAUACCGCAUAUGUUCUACGGAAUAAAGCUGGGGAUCGUUUCGGCGGCCUGGUGCUUUGAAAUGAGCCUGCGUCAGACUAGCUUGUUGGUGAGGUAAUAGCUCACCAAGGCGACGAUCUGUAGCUGGUCUGAGAGGACGAUCAGCCACACUGGGACUGAGACACGGCCCAGACUCCUACGGGAGGCAGCAGUGGGGAAUAUUGGACAAUGGGCGAAAGCCUGAUCCAGCAAUACCGCGUGUGUGAAGAAGGCCUUCGGGUUGUAAAGCACUUUCAAUAGAGAAGAAAUGCUUAAGGUUAAUACCCUUGAGAGUUGACUUAACCUAUAGAAGAAGCACCGGCUAACUCUGUGCCAGCAGCCGCGGUAAUACAGAGGGUGCGAGCGUUAAUCGGAAUUACUGGGCGUAAAGAGCGCGUAGGUGGAUGUUUAAGUCGGAUGUGAAAGCCCUGGGCUUAACCUGGGAACUGCAUUCGAUACUGGGCAUCUUGAGUAUGGUAGAGGGAAGUGGAAUUUCCGGAGUAGCGGUGAAAUGCGUAGAUACCGGAAGGAACACCAGUGGCGAAGGCGGCUUCCUGGACCAAUACU
Molecule: ribosomal RNA, 752 nt
Filed under: uncultured bacterium
Lineage: Bacteria
Description: bacterial SSU rRNA
Rfam family: Bacterial small subunit ribosomal RNA
Source: RNAcentral